This 504-nucleotide ribosomal RNA is filed under the name uncultured bacterium. Its description in RNAcentral is "bacterial SSU rRNA". It matches the Rfam family "Bacterial small subunit ribosomal RNA", at positions 28 to 530 of the family's 1533-position model. The record is from RNAcentral.
GACGAACGCUGGCGGCGUGCCUAACACAUGCAAGUCGAGCGGGGUUGAAGCGAGGGGUAACUCGAGUUUCUACCUAGCGGCGGACGGGUGAGUAACGCGUGGGCAACCUGCCUCAAGGACUGGGAUAACAGCUCGAAAGGGCUGCUAAUACCGGAUAUGCCUGUGGCCUCGCAUGGGGCUAUGAGCAAAGGGGAAACCCGCCUUGAGAUGGGCCCGCGUCCCAUCAGCUAGUUGGUGAGGUGAAGGCUCACCAAGGCGACGACGGGUAGCCGGCCUGAGAGGGUGACCGGCCACACUGGGACUGAGACACGGCCCAGACUCCUACGGGGGGGCAGCAGUGGGGAAUCUUGCACAAUGGGCGAAAGCCUGAUGCAGCGACGCCGCGUGAGCGAAGAAGGCCUUCGGGUUGUAAAGCUCUGUCUGGAGGGACGAAGGAAGUGACGGUACCUCCGGAGGAAGGCCGACGGCUAACUACGUGCCAGCAGCCGCGGUAAAGUCACGUCG